GCACUGCACUUCGGGAUAAGCUUGGGAAACUGGGUCUAAUACCGGAUAGGAGCCAUCUUUAGUGUGGUGGUUGGAAAGUUUUUUCGGUGUAGGAUGAGCUCGCGGCCUAUCAGCUUGUUGGUGGGGUAAUGGCCUACCAAGGCGGCGACGGGUAGCCGGCCUGAGAGGGUGUACGGCCACAUUGGGACUGAGAUACGGCCCAG
This 203-nucleotide ribosomal RNA is filed under the name uncultured Actinomycetales bacterium. RNAcentral's name for it is "partial 16S ribosomal RNA". It matches the Rfam family "Bacterial small subunit ribosomal RNA", at positions 128 to 334 of the family's 1533-position model. Lineage: Bacteria; Bacillati; Actinomycetota; Actinomycetes; Actinomycetales. The record is from RNAcentral.